UCCCAAACACGAGUGACUCUCAAGAAGUA
This 29-nucleotide non-coding RNA is filed under the name Mus musculus (house mouse). The record is from RNAcentral. Lineage: Eukaryota; Metazoa; Chordata; Mammalia; Rodentia; Muridae.